UUCGCAAUGCCCGAAAGGGUGACGAAGCGACGCCGCGUGCGGGAAGAAGGCCUUCGGGUUGUAAACCGCUGUCGGGAGUUAAGAAAUGCAAGGGUGUUAACAGCAUCCUUGCUUGACUAAGGCUCCGGAGGAAGCCACGGCUGACUCUGUGCCAGCAGCCGCGGUAAUACAGAGGCGGCAAGCGUUGUUCGGAAUUAUUGGGCGUAAAGAGCACGUAGGCGGCUGUGUAAGUCGGUUGUGAAAGCCUUCCGCUCAACGGGAGAACGGCAUCCGAUACUGCAUGGCUUGAGUGCGGGAGGGGAGAGUGGAACUUCUGGUGGAGCGGUGAAAUGCGUAGAUAUCAGAAGGAACACCGGCGGCGAAGGCGACUCUCUGGCCCGUAACUGACGCUGAGUGUGCGAAAGCUAGGGGAGCAAACGGGAUUAGAUACCCCGGUAGUCCUAGCCGUAAACGAUGGGCACUAAGUAGAGGGGUUUUA
This 478-nucleotide ribosomal RNA is filed under the name uncultured bacterium. Its description in RNAcentral is "bacterial SSU rRNA". It matches the Rfam family "Bacterial small subunit ribosomal RNA", at positions 365 to 833 of the family's 1533-position model. The record is from RNAcentral.